AAAUCCCAUCAUCAGUCAUAUGCUAGAUUGACUCGACUCGAGUUUAUCUGUGAAUUUUGUGAAAAUUCUUUUUCAGUAUUCACACUUACUUUAGUCAGAGAUUUUCUAAAUUUCGUCUUACAAAUCACAUAGGACUUCUCCUUUUCUAUCAAAAUCGAUAGAUUCUAUCUAGGUGUAUCCUACUCCAAACAGUAAACCUGAACCUACAAUAACCAACAUACACAGCAA
RNAcentral lists this long non-coding RNA (228 nucleotides) under Elaeis guineensis (African oil palm). Its description in RNAcentral is "long non-coding RNA (EGUI_LNC046448)". Lineage: Eukaryota; Viridiplantae; Streptophyta; Magnoliopsida; Arecales; Arecaceae. The record is from RNAcentral.